Molecule: ribosomal RNA, 383 nt
Filed under: uncultured eukaryote
Lineage: Eukaryota
Description: SSU rRNA
Rfam family: Eukaryotic small subunit ribosomal RNA
Source: RNAcentral
CCAGCAGCCGCGGUAAUUCCGGCUCCAAUAGCGUAUAUUAAAGUUGUUGCAGUUAAAACGCUCGUAGUCUGAUGUAAUGGGGACUGGUGUGGGGAGCAGCAAUGCUCUUUGCUUCGGUCUUCAUCAACGGGACAGCAAUGUCCCAUUUUACUUUGAGAAAAAUAGAGUGUUCAAAGCAGGCGUUUGCCUUGAAUACAUUAGCAUGGGAUAAUGGAAUAGGACAUUGGUUCUAUUUUGUUGGUUUACGGACCGAUGUAAUGAUUAAUAGGGACAGUUGGGGACAUUCAUAUUCCAUGGCUAGAGGUGAAAUUCUUGGAUUCAUGGAAGAUGAACUACUGCGAAAGCAUUUGUCAAAGAUGUUUUCAUUGAUCAAGAACGAAAGU